UACGAAGGGGGCUAGCGUUGCUCGGAAUUACUGGGCGUAAAGGGCGCGUAGGCGGCCUUCUAAGUCAGACGUGAAAUCCCCCGGCUUAACCUGGGAACUGCGUCUGAUACUGGGAGGCUAGAGUAUGGGAGAGGGAUGUAGAAUUCCAGGUGUAGCGGUGAAAUGCGUAGAUAUCUGGAGGAAUACCGGUGGCGAAGGCGGCAUCCUGGACCAUUACUGACGCUGAGGCGCGAAAGCUAGGGGAGCAAACGGG
Molecule: ribosomal RNA, 253 nt
Filed under: uncultured bacterium
Lineage: Bacteria
Description: partial 16S ribosomal RNA
Rfam family: Bacterial small subunit ribosomal RNA
Source: RNAcentral